This 73-nucleotide transfer RNA is filed under the name Stegodyphus mimosarum. It matches the Rfam family "tRNA". Rfam says of the family: Transfer RNA (tRNA) molecules are approximately 80 nucleotides in length. Their secondary structure includes four short double-helical elements and three loops (D, anti-codon, and T loops). Further hydrogen bonds mediate the characteristic L-shaped molecular structure. tRNAs have two regions of fundamental functional importance: the anti-codon, which is responsible for specific mRNA codon recognition, and the 3' end, to which the tRNAs corresponding amino acid is attached (by aminoacyl-tRNA synthetases). tRNAs cope with the degeneracy of the genetic code in two manners: having more than one tRNA (with a specific anti-codon) for a particular amino acid; and 'wobble' base-pairing, i.e. permitting non-standard base-pairing at the 3rd anti-codon position. The record is from Rfam by way of RNAcentral. Lineage: Eukaryota; Metazoa; Arthropoda; Arachnida; Araneae; Eresidae.
GCCUUCGUGGUGUAGUGGUCAGCACACUGAGCCGGUAUUUCAGAGGUCCGUGGUUCGAUUCCCGUCAAAGGCC